CAGCCGCCGCGGUAAUACGGAGGGAGCUAGCGUUGUUCGGAACUACUGGGCGUAAAGCGCACGUAGGCGGUUACUCAAGUCAGAGGUGAAAGCCCGGGGCUCAACCCCGGAACUGCCUUUGAAACUAGGUGACUAGAAUCUUGGAGAGGUCAGUGGAAUUCCGAGUGUAGAGGUGAAAUUCGUAGAUAUUCGGAAGAACACCAGUGGCGAAGGCGGCUUACUGGCUCAUUCUAGACGCUGAGGUGCGAAAGCGUGGGGAGCAAACAGGAUUAGAUACCCCUGUAGUCCCUGUCUCUUAUAC
This 301-nucleotide ribosomal RNA is filed under the name uncultured bacterium. RNAcentral's name for it is "partial 16S ribosomal RNA". It matches the Rfam family "Bacterial small subunit ribosomal RNA", at positions 509 to 807 of the family's 1533-position model. The record is from RNAcentral.